GAUGAACGCUGGCGGCGUGCCUAAUACAUGCAGGUCGAGCGAACAGACGAGGAGCUUGCUCCUCUGACGUUAGCGGCGGACGGGUGAGUAACACGUGGAUAACCUACCUAUAAGACUGGGAUAACUUCGGGAAACCGGAGCUAAUACCGGAUAAUAUAUUGAACCGCAUGGUUCAAUAGUGAAAGACGGUUUUGCUGUCACUUAUAGAUGGAUCCGCGCCGCAUUAGCCAGUUGGUAAGGUAACGGCUUACCAAGGCAACGAUGCGUAGCCGACCUGAGAGGGUGAUCGGCCACACUGGAACUGAGACACGGUCCAGACUCCUACGGGAGGCAGCAGUAGGGAAUCUUCCGCAAUGGGCGAAAGCCUGACGGAGCAACGCCGCGUGAGUGAUGAAGGUCUUCGGAUCGUAAAACUCUGUUAUUAGGGAAGAACAAAUGUGUAAGUAACUAUGCACGUCUUGACGGUACCUAAUCAGAAAGCCACGGCUAACUACGUG
RNAcentral lists this ribosomal RNA (497 nucleotides) under uncultured bacterium. RNAcentral describes it as "partial 16S ribosomal RNA". It matches the Rfam family "Bacterial small subunit ribosomal RNA", at positions 28 to 507 of the family's 1533-position model. The record is from RNAcentral.